This is a long non-coding RNA of Archocentrus centrarchus (flier cichlid), 506 nucleotides long. RefSeq lists it as uncharacterized. The transcript has 3 exons. The record is from RefSeq and is a predicted model, not a curated record. NCBI's taxonomy places the organism in Eukaryota, Metazoa, Chordata, Actinopteri, Cichliformes, Cichlidae.
UGAGGGACAAAAACAUGCAAGGUAAUGUGUGUGUUUAUUGCAUGAUCCAUAGAAUACUCUAGCUAUAUGUUUUCUAUUUAAUGUUUACUGUUAGCCUGGGCUAGUUUGCCACUUUUGUAGCUAAAACAAAUUGCUAAAAUCGGACAAUUUUUUUUUGUUUUUCAGGUUAAGAUGUAUUGUCCAUUCUGUGGGUUUAAGUCUGAAAACUUGACAAAAUUUUGCUGUUCCUGUGGAAAAGACAUAAGUUUUGUUCUGGUUAAAGAUGCUGCUACCGCUGAAGACCCUGAACACUCAAGCGGAAAGUCAGUUGUUCAGCAGUUCUUCAAGUACCGUGAAGGAAAAGAGGCAGAAAGAAGGAUGUUCUCAAAAUGCAAAAAGAAAUCAAAGAAAAUAGUGAAGAUUUCUGUUGGGAUCAUGAACAAAACCAAGACUGGCAUGAGGCCUAUAAGAGGGAAAACACUACCAUUAGAUGUUGAACCAAGUUGGUCGUUUGAGAAACUUUUGGG